UACGUAGGGUGCAAGCGUUAAUCGGAAUUACUGGGCGUAAAGCGUUCGCAGGCGGUGAUGUAAGACCGAUGUGAAAUCCCCGGGCUUAACCUGGGAACUGCAUUGGUGACUGCAUCGCUCGAGUAUGGCAGAGGGGGGUAGAAUUCCACGUGUAGCAGUGAAAUGCGUAGAGAUGUGGAGGAAUACCGAUGGCGAAGGCAGCCCCCUGGGUCAAUACUGACGCUCAUGCACGAAAGCGUGGGGAGCAAACAGG
RNAcentral lists this ribosomal RNA (253 nucleotides) under uncultured bacterium. RNAcentral describes it as "partial 16S ribosomal RNA". It matches the Rfam family "Bacterial small subunit ribosomal RNA", at positions 524 to 776 of the family's 1533-position model. The record is from RNAcentral.